This 811-nucleotide long non-coding RNA is filed under the name Calidris pugnax (ruff). RNAcentral's name for it is "lncRNA (ENSCPUG00000011145.1)". Lineage: Eukaryota; Metazoa; Chordata; Aves; Charadriiformes; Scolopacidae. The record is from RNAcentral.
AUUCCUCAUGGACUCACCCAUAUGGUGGGAAGAGCUAUGGCCCUUAAAAGAGGGUUAAUACCCCAUUUUGUGCAUGUUUGUGUGCAUUAGGUGCUCAUGUGUGCCUGGAGGAGGACUACCUGGGCUCUCAGAGGCUUUACCUGGCUCCAGAAACUCAGCUGCGAAGUCACAACACCGCAAAGAAGUCUCCGUUGAAGUGCCUUGCCCAUGCAGUACCGGAGUGCUGAACUGGCCCUUGCAGUGGUGGCCCCUCCAGGACUCCACAUUCCUCUCAGAUGUCUAUCAAGGCAUGGCAGUUCUAAUGCCUCGUGGAGGCUGCUGGGGAAACUUCCCGACUCAGUGCACCUCCUGGUAUCAUGACGUCUUUCAAAGCCCUUGUGUUCCCUUUUCCAUCCAGUACGAUCUGAUUUUCUGCUCCUGGACGGAUGCAGCCCACAACUCAAUGGGAAAGUGAAGGAGAUGCCUAUUUCCCUGCUGCUAUUGACAGCUUGUAAACACCGCACCCUGAGUGGCAGCCCUGUCCCCAGACACUUGGCAAAGCUGCCUUUAGGAUUAUUUCUGUUCUCUUCCCAUCAAAAAAAAAAAAAAAAAAAAAAAUCUUUAUCCUAUCAACCUAUUAGCAAUUGGAUAUUUCACUUUAUGUUCAAUUACGUUCCCAGAGAAAGAACAAGUUAUGAAAGUGCCUUUUGGACUAACAUCAAAUGUAUUUCUUGAUGAAUUGCAACCUGGUAAACUACUUGGAAGCUUUUGAAACGUAAAGUCUAUUAAGCCUUUCAAUAAAAUAAUGCUGUAAUGUACUGUACUUUUUUCU